Molecule: ribosomal RNA, 467 nt
Filed under: uncultured bacterium
Lineage: Bacteria
Description: partial 16S ribosomal RNA
Rfam family: Bacterial small subunit ribosomal RNA
Source: RNAcentral
GACGAACGCUGGCGGCGUGCUUAACACAUGCAAGUCGAACGGAAAGGCCCUGCUUUUGCGGGGUGCUCGAGUGGCGAACGGGUGAGUAACACGUGAGUAACCUGCCCUUGACUUUGGGAUAACUUCAGGAAACUGGGGCUAAUACCGGAUAGGAGCUCCUGCUGCAUGGUGGGGGUUGGAAAGUUUCGGCGGUUGGGGAUGGACUCGGGGCUUAUCAGCUUGUGGGGGGGGUAGUGGCUUACCAAGGCUUUGACGGGUAGCCGGCCUGGGAGGGUGACCGGCCCCAUGGGGGUUGGGUAGCGGCCAGGGCCCCACAGGGGGGAAGGGGGGGGGAAUUUUUCCAAAGGGGCCGAGGGUUGGAGGAGCAUCGCCGGAUGGGGGAGGACGUCAUUGGGGUUGUAACCCGCUUUCGCUUGUGACGAGCCGUGUGUACGUUAACUGGGGAAAAAAGCCCGGCCAACUUCGUG